GAAGCAGCGGAAAAUACUUCACCGCCGCUUUCCGAUUCCAAAGGUCACAGGUUCGAAUCCUGUCGGGUGCGCCA
RNAcentral lists this transfer RNA (74 nucleotides) under Rhizobium mongolense. Its description in RNAcentral is "tRNA-Ser". Lineage: Bacteria; Pseudomonadati; Pseudomonadota; Alphaproteobacteria; Hyphomicrobiales; Rhizobiaceae. The record is from RNAcentral.